Molecule: transfer RNA, 68 nt
Filed under: Triodia sylvina
Lineage: Eukaryota; Metazoa; Arthropoda; Insecta; Lepidoptera; Hepialidae
Description: tRNA-Tyr
Rfam family: tRNA
About the family: Transfer RNA (tRNA) molecules are approximately 80 nucleotides in length. Their secondary structure includes four short double-helical elements and three loops (D, anti-codon, and T loops).
Source: RNAcentral
UAAUAAAAUGGCUGAAGAUUAAGCGAUAAAUUGUAAAUUUAUUUAUAAGAGAAAUUCUUUUUUAUUAA